UACGGAGGGGGCAAGCGUUGUUCGGAAUUACUGGGCGUAAAGGGCGCGUAGGCGGUCUGCUAAGUUGGAUGUGAAAACUCUGGGCUUAACCCAGAGCCUGCAUUCAAUACUGACAGGCUAGAGUUCUGGAGGGGAUAGCGGAAUUCCUGGUGUAGCGGUGAAAUGCGCAGAUAUCAGGAGGAACACCGAUGGCGAAGGCAGGUCUCUGGGCCGAUACUGACGCUGAGGAGCGAAAGCGUGGGGAGCGAACAGG
Molecule: ribosomal RNA, 253 nt
Filed under: uncultured bacterium
Lineage: Bacteria
Description: partial 16S ribosomal RNA
Rfam family: Bacterial small subunit ribosomal RNA
Source: RNAcentral